AAACUAGUGCAGCUGAUCCGUGCCAUAGGUUAAGGCCUAUCCCACUUUUUAGGCUUGGUAUCACAUCACCACAAAUAAACAAGUUUAUUUCCAUAAAAUAAACAAGUUUAUAUCCAUGCAAUCACUUCACCAAUCAAAUCCAUCAUGUAUAUCUCCCUUCACGAAGACCACAUGCAUGCAUGAUGAUUCCUUCAUCAUCUUAAACUCUAAAAAAACAAUUGAUGAAAUUCAUCAUCAUAUCCCAAAAAACCACGUGCCUUGACCCUGUCCAUGAAUUCAAGGUCCAUUUGAACUGCACCACCCACUUCUAUAUCAGAAACAAGACACAUAGGAGACUACAUACACUUGGAAUCUGUUAUGAUAAGCCAAUUUAAAUGUCUCCGCGCAAUCCUUUGAAGAUAGAUUAGAUCAUUUUUCCAAAACAACCAACUGGAUAUAUCAAAAAUUAGGUUUUAACUAUCCCAGUUAAUAUUAAGAGAUAAUAUUAUGAUUAAAAUAAUAUUACUUCUCAAUAAUAACUAAAAAUCAUCUCAACCACUUUAUUAUCCAACGGUUUAAUAUCUGCUUAUUCAACGGCCUCAAUUGCUCGGGCCGAUGAUGUAAAUUUGGGUCCAAACAUUGCCCCCUAAUUUCCUUGAACUUCGGCUCGUAAGCCGAAAGGUUAAGGAAAUUAAUUGUUCGUAUCACCGAAAAAGAAACUUUGUUCCUCGGCAAUAACAUGUAUGUUCUGCCAACGUUGCGACCUCCCUCAACUGCUAUAACUCCAUACCAGGCUCGGCAAUUUUGCCAGAAGAUCGAGAAGAAUUUUUCUUGGCAGCUCGUCUUGCCUAGAUAUAUAUACACACUAAGCCGAGGUCGAGAAGCUCGGAACGAAGGCAAGCAGAAAGAAUACAGCAACAGUGAACAUCAUGGCGCUGAGAUAAUAUUCUGUUGAUUGGCACUUUUUUGUAGUCACAUCCACAUGUUUACCAUCUAAUCCCUCGACCGUUUAGUUCCUCGAAAAACUCAAAACUUCACGUCCAAGCUUUAUAUAUAUAUAUAUAUAUAUAUAUAUAUAUAUAUAUAUGGUUUUGGCCAAGGCUUAUAUAUGCAGUUUUGUAAAGUGGCCGAGGAAAGUCUAUGACGUCGGCCUGCCUUUAUACAUAUAUAUAUGGGUCACGAUAGCACCAUAUUUGAGUCACAUCAAAUCUUUUAUGCUUCACCAAACCACUACCCACCAUUCAACUAUUGUAAAAUAAAGGGAGGGUGGAAUCUUGUCAGGGAAAGUGGUUUCAAUCCACUUUUCUCGGCCAGAUGAGAAAAGUCACCUACUCUUACGUCGAAAGGUCGAGUAAAGGUAAACCAAAUGGCGACCGAACCAUGACUUGAGGGUUAAAGGUAUUUAUUGAUCUUAAUUUUCAACCCACUUUCCUCGACUUUUCUACCUUCGACUUCGGCCUAAUGGUCCUUGGCCGAAUUCUUAUGCAUAAUCACAUGCAUUGGCCUGAGGCCAACUACACACUGCACGCCAAAAUGCUUGCAGCAUAGAAUGUUUUCGCAGUAGUCAAAUAUGCUCGACCAGCAUGAUCCUGCUUGUCUGCCUUGCCAAAAACAUUUAACGCAAAUCCCUCAAGGUACAGAUUGAAACAAUUCUCGCAAAUCCCCAACUUCAGUGACUUCUUAUCUUUUUCAAACUGCUUCAUUUGGUGAAACUUGACCGCCAAGCUUGGUGGCUAUUCUCAAUGGUACCCUGGUAAGCUCACCACGCCAUGAAUAGAAUGCCACCUCCACACAACUUAUAGCUGCAAGAAGACUUUCUCGCUUGAGGAGAUUUCUUUGAUGGUGUUGACAAAGAUGAAGAAGAUCGCAGAGGUGUAGAUGACCUUCUCGGCGAGGGCUAGUCCUGCCUAUAUAUAUAUAUAUAUAUAUAUAUAUAUAUAUAUAUAUAUAUAUAUAUAUAUAUAUAUAUAUAUAUAUAUGAAAUUGAAAUUGUUCCUAAAGCUCGGCCUGCCACUAAUAUCGAGAAAAAUUGAAAUUGGGCCGAGGUCGACGAUCUGGCCGAGAUUCCAUUUCGCAAUUAUGCCGAGAUUCCAAUGUGAUUGCAUAAGGCUGCCAUGCACAUUUUUUUCCAUUCCUUCGGCAAAAGUUUUUUUUUUUUUUUUUUUUUUUUUUUGGUUUUUUUUUUUUUGUUUUGUUUUGUUUUGUUUUUUUGGGCCAAAAUUGUCUGACCAAAAUCGUCUAACCAUCUAUUGCCCCCCUUAUUUUCUCAAGUAUCGGCCCAUAAAGCCGAAUGGUCGAGAAAAUAAUUUAUUUCUUUUUUAACAAAAGAAAAACAAAAGUGGCUGAACUAAUAAAGAGGAGGAGGCCAACGAUGCUUUAUUCCAAGCCGAGAUCUUAGGCUGAAUAAAAAAAAUUCUCUAAAUAUUUUUAACUUGACGAAAUGUUUUUCAUUUGCGGCUACCGAAUGUGUGGAACAAUUAUUUUGCCCCCCAGGCAUAAUUUUUUCACCAAUUUCGGCUUUUAACUCGAACAACUUAGCCGAACGAGAUUUCUCUAUAUCGGCUUUAUCACCAAUAAUCAUAUCGAUUGGCGUGGUUUUGGCGUCUAAGACCAUAUCUCCAAUUACCUUAUCAAUUGAUGUGGUUUUAUGGUCCAAAGCCAUGUAUCGAUCUUGUUCGUCAUUGGAACACUCCUCUGACGAAUCAUUUUCCAAGUUGAUUUGUGACUCAGAAAUUUGAACUUUUUCUUCUAGGCCUACCACACUUUCAGUCUCGACCGAGACAACAGGUGGCCUAGGUGUUACUUCGGCCGUCUUGGCAAUUUCCUGAGGCCGAAUUUUGAUUGUGGCCGAAAUGAAAAAUUGCCCCCCAGCCUUUGCACUUAACCAUUUUUCAACUGGAAUUGAUCUGUAGUCGGAAACGGAAGGAAAACGUUCUUCAUCUAGCCAAACAUUAAAUCGAGCCCUAUCUUCGUUUACCCAUUGCUCUUGUAGGGGAACAGGAGCUUUUACUCUCAACAUGUAAGCAAAUGACUUUUGCAUCUCUCUAUGGCCACGAAGAACUUUUUCCACUUCUAAAGAUCUUUUAUAUUCCUCAUUGUGUUUUUUCAAUUCCUUUAGAAGCUCGUACAAUCGGCUACAUGGAGCCGGAUUGACAUCUUGAUAUAUCAUAUGAACUUCGUAGUUUUAGCACUGGGUCCCACUGGGCGUGCCAAAAUGUUGACCCUAAAAACUACCAAGCCUACGUGGUGCGCAGGCCGAGUAAUCUAUAAGCUAACUACGUCAUUCGGUGAUUGCGGGGCGUGCCAACUCGUCGGCCAAGCUCGACCGAGGAGUAAAUUUGUUGAUGUUGCGUUAGGUCGCGCUACUGACUUCUGCGUCUUGUGAUUGCGGCCGAGAAAGGAACACGUCUCGGCCUCUUGGGCUCUCGAACCUGAAGACAAGGUUACUAUUCUUACGAAGUUCAAUAUCAAAUUCGGCUUUCAAUGUGCCGAAUGUAAUAACUGUAACACCUCACUUUGCCGAGAAGGCUAAUGAGAUGACCUCGACCAAUAAGGGUUCAGAGACCCUUCUCAACCGAGACUUGGAUAGGUAAUCAACCGUUCUCGCCGCAGUGCUGUUGAUGCCAACGGAAGAUACUACGAGACCGAUUGAUUCUACGGUGACAGAGCUAUCUAUGCCGACUUAAGAUAUCACCGGCUGCUUCCACAGUGCUGUUGAUGCCAACGGAAGAUGUGUCAGCGAAAAAGGAAAAAGAAAAUCUCAAAGUUGUUGAGAGAGUUUGCGCAGGGCAGUUUUGUAUUGAUUUGCAGGGGACCUGUGCGCUGCUCAUGUUUCUGUAUUUAUAGAACAUCUUUACCUCUGCACGGCCUAAUAAUUAAGUAGAGUUCAUCUGCAAUUCAAACUAGUGCAGCUGAUCCGUGCCAUAGGUUAAGGCCUAUCCCCCUUUUUAGGCUUGGUAUCACAUCACCACAAAUAAACAAGUUUAUUUCCAUAAAAUAAACAAGUUUAUAUCCAUGCAAUCACUUCACCAAUCAAAUCCAUCAUGUAUAUCUCCCUUCACGAAGACCACAUGCAUGCAUGAUGAUUCCUUCAUCAUC
RNAcentral lists this long non-coding RNA (4077 nucleotides) under Malus domestica (apple). RNAcentral's name for it is "long non-coding RNA (MDOM_LNC001194)". Lineage: Eukaryota; Viridiplantae; Streptophyta; Magnoliopsida; Rosales; Rosaceae. The record is from RNAcentral.